GACAGAGGGUGCAAGCGUUGUUCGGAAUUAUUGGGCGUAAAGCGCACGUAGGCGGUUGUCUAAGUCACAUGUGAAAGCCCAGGGCUCAACCCUGGAAGGGCAUGUGAUACUGGACGACUAGAGUCCCGGAGAGGGUGGUGGAAUUCCUGGUGUAGAGGUGAAAUUCGUAGAUAUCAGGAGGAACACCGGUGGCGAAGGCGACCACCUGGACGGGUACUGACGCUGAGGUGCGAAAGCACGGGGAGCAAACAGG
RNAcentral lists this ribosomal RNA (253 nucleotides) under uncultured bacterium. RNAcentral describes it as "partial 16S ribosomal RNA". It matches the Rfam family "Bacterial small subunit ribosomal RNA", at positions 524 to 776 of the family's 1533-position model. The record is from RNAcentral.